GUGAAUAUGUCAUCUGCUAGCAAAUUGUAUUUACUGUUUGUAGGUCGCACUUGAGAACGAGGCUUGGUUUUUACGGGAAAAGAUAUCAAUUACAAAAUUGAGGCUAAGCUCGCACACUGCAUGGAGGUGCUCCAACUCACUGAGCCAAUGCCAAAUCAUUGUAUACACUCUUACUAUGACCAGGCUCAGGGACUUAGACAGGUUACUCACAGAAUCCACAGAUUGAGCAAUACUGUGGUAUGACAUACUUAUCAGGUGGUAUGCUUGUUAAAUGAAGAGAGUUGCCUCCCUUUAACUCCUGGCAAUUCCUAGCCAGGUGGCAGUGGUGUAUAAAUGAAAACAAACUUGACUAGUGGCUGUGUCUGGCCGGCGUGUCUGGUGACUAUGAUAUCCUGACUGACACUAGGAUCACGAACUGGUGUUGUGUAUGGGGCCACAACACAAAUCUAACCAGCAGGUCAAAACACUGGUCAAAGGCUGACCUCUGCAGAUAAGCUGUGAAACAACAUGGGUGACAUUGACUGCGGUGACUGCGGUGGCUGCGACUGUGACUGUACUGAUGGUGACUGCGGCUGCAACGACUGCAAAUGUGACUGCAACCAUUGCGACCCAUGUGACCAGUUUGCAUGUGGUCUCUGUUGUGGUGGCUGUGUGAAUGACACCACAGACACAUCAAUGGCCGCAGUUUACUUGGGCACCAACACUAACACAUCCUCCAACUCAUCGUCUCAGACGCGGAACCUACAUAACGACAACAAGAAGGAACAAAGAAACAAGUACCUGGCCCCGAAUGGUGAACUGAAUGGGCUGAACAAUAGCCAGGUUGAAGGCGAGGUCGUGAUGAACCAACCAGGAACAGACCCCAAUGUUGUCAUGUCACAACCACGAGGAGAUCCACAAGGGGAACCACGAGGAGAUCCACCUCCCUAUGAGAGUUGUGUGGACACCAAAAACUGAUCCUACUACAUGUAUCUCACUGACUCAUUCUUACCGGUGCAAACAAGGCUGUGAAGAAACAAUGAACAGCCAAACAAUAAACGCUGUGUGAAGACAUGAAGUGUUUUUUACGAUGCCUCAGGACCUGGACUUACGACAUGAAGUUGUAUAGAACUACAACCACUUUCAAAGUUUCAUUUAGGACUUCCUCAGAAUCCUGUGAUAAGGGUUAUUAAAAACUGAAAUGUCGUAUGUCAAUACAUUAUGUCUGUUGAUGCCCUUGUGUUGCGAAAAUUGAGCACAUUUAUAUUAAUAUCAUUAUUUUACCAUAGACUUUCAAUGAAUGUUUUUUGCAUUUUGUCAACAACUGUUCUCGUAGAAACUGUAACGACCUGAUUCUCAUUUGCCAGGUGACACAACACCUGAUCCUCAGCAUCAUUGUCAGCUCGUUCUAGAUCUGGGCUCCUGAUAAGUUUUAGAGCCAUCCUUCACAUUGGGUAUUGAUAGUUUUCUUUGUGGACAUAUCAUAAUUCCCUUGGGUCCAGUCUAAAGGGUAUUAUUACACCAGUGAGUUGAUAUUUUUUUAUAUCAUUCUGCUUAAAUACCAUUUCAGGUGGCUUCUAAUAUAUAUCUGUUCAUGUGCUUAAACAAAUGUGUAACAUGCCUCAAAAACUGACAACAGCGAUAUAUAUGUCUGAUUAACAAUAAGCGAGAUGUAGUGCCCUACUUAUGCAAUAUUCACAAAAGCAGAUUGGAGUCGUGUAUGUGUGAUGCCUGAAUGUUAUCUAAGAAAUAUCAACAUUUUGUGCUCCCUGAUUGAAUACAAUCCAACCUCAGCAGUGUUGGACUCCUUUUUAUGUAAAGGGGGGUUAAGUUUUGUAUCCUUACAAUUUUGACGUCAAUUAUAUGCACCUUCUCUCCCUAGAUCGAUUGUCAUAUCUCUCCCACGUUUGGGUGUGAUCAUUUGGCCAUUGCACUUAAAUGUGCUGUCCAGCUACAUCUAUUGGGAAAAAUUCACUGGACACUCCCCUCUCAAAAAUAACGUCGUCCAAUUUACAUCCUCAUCAAGUUCUGAGCGCAUGUUCGAAUCUCCAGAAACAAUGGUAGAACAAUGUUUUGGCGUGAAAUAAACCACGCUUCAUUCUUCAUUGUUCUUUGCAAUAUAUCUCGUAGCUAUCUUAUAUCAGAAAUUAAUGAUCUGUAAAGAAAUAUAGGUACACAAGUUGAAAAUGAUACAUUGGGUAAUUUCACAGAGUGUUGUUAUACUAUUGGGUUUUGUAAAUGUUUCACUCAUAUCAAAAAGCAACGAACUCCAAAUUAAUCCAGUAAUGGAAAUUUAUUGUGCAUAUUUUAUAUAAAUACUUAAAAAUAGUUAUAUGGAGCUCUGCAAUUCAUAUGGGGUACUUGGCGCCAUUUCUGACCCAGAAUCUCUGCAGGGGUUCUAUCCUACAGAUACAGCCCUGCACUCACUCACCCUCAACCCCACCAACCCUCUUUAAAAGUCAUUUCAAAUACAUGUACAUAAAUAUUUGUGCCUUCAAUAACUGACACCAAUUAACAUUAUUAGUAAACUUAGUUCAUUAAGUAAUCUUGUUGAAUUGAUGCUAUUAUACCAUCCCAAUUAUAAGACCCUGUGUCAAUGCCUGCCUCACAUGCUUGCUAUACAGCAGGACCCAGUCACAGAGUGCGGUCUUACUGUAUGAGUGAGUGACUGAGUUGGUUUAAAGCCGUUUUGAACAGUAUUGUCAUGUCAUAUCAUGGCGUGUCAGCUUGGUGAAGCAGGGAACCUCGAAGCUUUGCAAGCUUUAGGCAUUUACCACUUUAGUUAAACCAACGAACAAGGGCAUGGUGCAAGAAACAGUCAGGCGAAUCGGGGACUUGAACAAACUACCACAGGUUUAUGCCUCAUGUAAGAGAUGUUACUCUGCACAGCGAAUUGCAUCACCUCAGAUGACAGUGCCACCUGUGUCUCCUUUACUGAAUGAAAGUAUUAAAGAACAUCAUUCAUGUCAUUUCAAAUGAAAUAAAGCAAGAGUCUCAAAGUU
Molecule: long non-coding RNA, 2981 nt
Organism: Haliotis rufescens (red abalone)
Lineage: Eukaryota; Metazoa; Mollusca; Gastropoda; Lepetellida; Haliotidae
Exons: 2
Source: RefSeq, a predicted model, not a curated record